Molecule: ribosomal RNA, 649 nt
Filed under: uncultured bacterium
Lineage: Bacteria
Description: bacterial SSU rRNA
Rfam family: Bacterial small subunit ribosomal RNA
Source: RNAcentral
GGCUUAGAGUUUGAUCAUGGCUCAGGACGAACGCUGGCGGCGCGCCUAACACAUGCAAGUCGAACGGAGUUGAGAGGAGCUUGCUUUUCUUGACUUAGUGGCGAACGGGUGAGUAACGCGUGAGGAACCUGCCUCAAAGAGGGGGACAACAGUUGGAAACGACUGCUAAUACCGCAUAAGCCCACGGUCUCGCAUGGGACAGAGGGAAAAGGAGCAAUCCGCUUUGAGAUGGCCUCGCGUCCGAUUAGCUAGUUGGUGAGGUAACGGCCCACCAAGGCGACGAUCGGUAGCCGGACUGAGAGGUUGAACGGCCACAUUGGGACUGAGACACGGCCCAGACUCCUACGGGAGGCAGCAGUGGGGAAUAUUGCACAAUGGGGGAAACCCUGAUGCAGCGACGCCGCGUGGAGGAAGAAGGUCUUCGGAUUGUAAACUCCUGUUGAUGGGGAAAAAGAGGAUGGUACCCAACAAGGAAGUGACGGCUAACUACGUGCCAGCAGCCGCGGUAAAACGUAGGUCACGAGCGUUGUCCGGAAUUACUGGGUGUAAAGGGAGCGCAGGCGGGUAUGCAAGUUGGGAGUGAAAUACAUGGGCUCAACCCAUGAACUGCUCUCAAAACUGUGUAUCUUGAGUAGUGCAGAGGUAGGCG